UGGUUCCUAAGACUAUAGAUCCUGGACUUC
Molecule: non-coding RNA, 30 nt
Filed under: Rattus norvegicus (Norway rat)
Lineage: Eukaryota; Metazoa; Chordata; Mammalia; Rodentia; Muridae
Source: RNAcentral